UAAACAUAUAUAUAUAUUUAUCAUAUACUUAGACUAAAUAACAUAUAAAUUUUACCGUAUGAUAAUAGCAUUAAAUUGACGUAAAUUCCAUAUUUUUUGAAUUGGUGCUUAGCGGGCUGAUAUGAAAAGUUUAUCACAUGCUUCGAUUGUUAUCACAUGCCUUUCCGUAAGGUUAUCACAUGGCAUUCCGGUAAUACUCGGCCAAUUCCGGAAAAUACACCUCAGUGCUACGUUUUCAGUGAAAAACAUUACAAAGUAGUGUACAAAACAAUUACUUGAUUACUGGAAAGUAUAUUGUUUAAAAUAAUAAUAAUAAAAAAAAAACCAAACAAAUUAUUUAAUAAAUGCAUUUUUUAAAGUUUUUCUGAAACAUAAUUUAGAAAGUUUCUUUAAAAAGUUAACGAUUCCAAACAAUGAUCAUUAUGUGUAUUGUUGAAUUAUUUUUUUGUAGAUUCGUCCAUAUUAAAAUGUUUUUUUUUCUCUCUCUGUUGAGGCAUAUGAUAGAAAGAUUUCAUAUUGAAUGUAUCAAAUUUUGGGUC
Molecule: long non-coding RNA, 539 nt
Filed under: Mytilus galloprovincialis (Mediterranean mussel)
Lineage: Eukaryota; Metazoa; Mollusca; Bivalvia; Mytilida; Mytilidae
Source: RNAcentral